This 460-nucleotide ribosomal RNA is filed under the name uncultured bacterium. Its description in RNAcentral is "partial 16S ribosomal RNA". It matches the Rfam family "Bacterial small subunit ribosomal RNA", at positions 338 to 795 of the family's 1533-position model. The record is from RNAcentral.
CCUACGGGUGGCAGCAGUGAGGAAUAUUGGUCAAUGGGCGGAAGCCUGAACCAGCCAAGUAGCGUGCGGGAUGAAGGCCCUACGGGUCGUAAACCGCUUUUGCACGGGGAUAACACCCUCCACUUGUGGAGGUCUGCAGGUACCGUGCGAAUAAGGGCCGGCUAAUUCCGUGCCAGCAGCCGCGGUAAUACGGGGGGUGCAAGCGUUGUCCGGAAUCAUUGGGCGUAACGAGUUCGUAGGCGGCACGUAAAGUCUGGUGUUAAAGGCAGAGGCUCAACUUCUGUACGGCACUGGAUACUUGCGAGCUAGAAUGCGGUAGAGGUAAAGGGAAUUCCUGGUGUAGCGGUGAAAUGCUUAGAUAUCAGGAGGAACAUCGGUGGCGUAAGCGCUUUACUGGGCCGUAAUUGACGCUGAGGAACGAAAGCCAGGGUAGCAAAUGGGAUUAGAUACCCUUGUAGUC